RNAcentral lists this ribosomal RNA (495 nucleotides) under uncultured bacterium. Its description in RNAcentral is "partial 16S ribosomal RNA". It matches the Rfam family "Bacterial small subunit ribosomal RNA", at positions 28 to 507 of the family's 1533-position model. The record is from RNAcentral.
GACGAAUGCUGGCGGCGUGCCUAAUACAUGCAAGUAGAACGCUGAAGGAGGAGCUUGCUUCUCCGGAUGAGUUGCGAACGGGUGAGUAACGCGUAGGUAACCUGCCUGGUAGCGGGGGAUAACUAUUGGAAACGAUAGCUAAUACCGCAUAAGAGUAGAUGUCGCAUGACAUUUGCUUAAAAGGUGCAACUGCACCACUACCAGAUGGACCUGCGUUGUAUUAGCUAGUUGGUGAGGUAACGGCUCACCAAGGCAACGAUACAUAGCCGACCUGAGAGGGUGAUCGGCCACACUGGGACUGAGACACGGCCCAGACUCCUACGGGAGGCAGCAGUAGGGAAUCUUCGGCAAUGGACGGAAGUCUGACCGAGCAACGCCGCGGGAGUGAAGAAGGUUUUCGGAUCGUAAAGCUCUGUUGUAAGAGAAGAACGAGUGUGAGAGUGGAAAGUUCACACUGUGACGGUAUCUGACCAGAAAGGGACGGCUAACUACGUG